This 28-nucleotide small RNA is filed under the name Bombyx mori (domestic silkworm). Its description in RNAcentral is "ovarian small RNA-36146". Lineage: Eukaryota; Metazoa; Arthropoda; Insecta; Lepidoptera; Bombycidae. The record is from RNAcentral.
UGUUGAAGGACCUAACUUAGAAAUAGAA